RNAcentral lists this unclassified non-coding RNA (252 nucleotides) under uncultured fungus. RNAcentral describes it as "partial contains 5.8S ribosomal RNA and internal transcribed spacer 2". The stretch from base 1 to 129 matches the Rfam family "5.8S ribosomal RNA", at positions 22 to 154 of the family's 154-position model. Rfam says of the family: 5.8S ribosomal RNA (5.8S rRNA) is a component of the large subunit of the eukaryotic ribosome. It is transcribed by RNA polymerase I as part of the 45S precursor that also contains 18S and 28S rRNA. Lineage: Eukaryota; Fungi. The record is from RNAcentral.
UGGUUCUCGCAUCGAUGAAGAACGCAGCGAAUUGCGAUACGUAAUAUGACUUGCAGACGUGAAUCAUUGAAUUUUUGAACGCACAUUGCGCCUUGAGGUAUUCCUCAAGGCAUGAUUGUUUGAGCGUUUGUUAAUCCUCAAACCCUCGGGUUUUGUUUUUGGCCCCCAGUGGCUCAAAUAUUUUGCAUUCUUUCUACUAAGUUUAAAGAAUUUUUUUAUCAAAACCUCAAAUCAAUCAAGACUACCCGCUGA